AGUCGAGCGGUAGCACAGAGAAGCUUGCUUCUUGGGUGACGAGCGGCGGACGGGUGAGUAACGCGUGGGAAUCUACCUGGUAGUGGGGGACAACAGUCGGAAACGACUGCUAAUACCGCAUACGCCCUUCGGGGGAAAGUGGGGGAUCUUCGGACCUCACGCUAUCAGAUGAGCCCGCGUCGGAUUAGCUUGUUGGUGAGGUAAAGGCUCACCAAGGCGAUGAUCCGUAGCUGGUCUGAGAGGAUGACCAGCCACACUGGGACUGAGACACGGCCCAGACUCCUACGGGAGGCAGCAGUGGGGAAUAUUGGACAAUGGGGGCAACCCUGAUCCAGCCAUGCCGCGUGUGUGAAGAAGGCCUUCGGGUUGUAAAGCACUUUCAACUGUGAGGAAAGGCGAGUGGUUAAUACCCGCUUGCUGUGACGUUAACAGCAGAAGAAGGACCGGCUAACUCCGUGCCAGCAGCCGCGGUAAUACGGAGGGUCCGAGCGUUAAUCGGAAUUACUGGGCGUAAAGCGCGCGUAGGUGGUUCAGUCAGUCAGAUGUGAAAGCCCCGGGCUCAACCUGGGAACUGCACCUGAUACUGCUGAGCUAGAGUACGGUAGAGGGCAGUGGAAUUUCCGGUGUAGCGGUGAAAUGCGUAGAGAUCGGAAGGAACACCAGUGGCGAAGGCGACUGCCUGGACUGAUACUGAC
This 695-nucleotide ribosomal RNA is filed under the name uncultured bacterium. RNAcentral's name for it is "bacterial SSU rRNA". It matches the Rfam family "Bacterial small subunit ribosomal RNA", at positions 60 to 744 of the family's 1533-position model. The record is from RNAcentral.